CCUACGGGUGGCUGCAGUGAGGCAUAUUGGUCAAUGGGCGCGAGCCUGAACCAGCCAAGUAGCGUGAAGGAUGACUGCCCUACGUGUUGUAAACUUCUUUUAUAAAGGACUAAAGUGAGGCACGUGUGCCUUUUUGUAUGUACUUUAUGAAUAAGGAUCGGCUAACUCCGUUCCAUCCGCCGCGGUAAGACGUAGGAUCCGAGCGUUAUCCGGAUUUGUUGGGUUUAAAGGGAGCGUAGAUGGGUUGUUCAGUCAGUUGUGAAAGUUUGCGGCUCAAACGUAAAAUUGCAAUUGAUACUGGCAGCCUUGAGUACAGUUGAGGUAGGCGGAAUGCGUGGUGUAGCGGUGAAAUGCUUAGAUAUCACGAAGAACUCCGAUUGCGAAGGCAGCUUACUAAACUGCCACUGACAUUGAUGCUCGAAAGUGUGGGUAUCAAACAGGAUUAGAUACCCCAGUAGUC
Molecule: ribosomal RNA, 460 nt
Filed under: uncultured bacterium
Lineage: Bacteria
Description: partial 16S ribosomal RNA
Rfam family: Bacterial small subunit ribosomal RNA
Source: RNAcentral